ACCGUCUGCGCAUGUGCGCACGCUUUCAGGGCAGCCCUAGCUGCUGGUCCAGCACCUCUAUGGUCUCGCCCUAGAGCUUUGCUAUUUGGGGGCAGUGGCCGCAGUCGUGUGGGUAGCAGGCCCCAAGUGACAGCAGCAUGGAGGAAUUCGAUUCCGAAGACUUCUCCACGUCGGACGAGGAUGAGGACUACGUGCCGUCGGGUGGAGAGUACAGUGAAGAUGAUGUCAAUGAAUUAGUGAAGGAAGACGAAGUGGAUGGUGAAGAGCAGGCUGAGAAAACCAAAGGGAAAAGAAGGAAGGCUCAGAGCAUUCCAGCCAGAAAGAGAAAACAAAGUGGCCUCUUGUUAGAAGACGAGGAGGACGGCAAGGAAGAAUCUGGAGGUAGUAGUAGUGGAGAAGAUGAAGAAGAGCAAGGAGGCCUUGGGUCCGAGAAUGCAAGGAAGAAGAAGGAAGAUGAACUGUGGGCCAGCUUCCUUAAUGAUGUGGGACCAAAGUCAAAAGCAGCUCCAAGUUCACAAGUUAAGGCAGCAGAGGAGACUGAAGAGACUAGUUCAAAUAAACUGUUGACGAAAGCAGAUGAGCUGGAGAAACCUAAAGAAUCAGAAAAAGUGAAAAUUACCAAGGUGUUUGACUUCGCUGGUGAAGAAGUGAGGGUGACUAAGGAAGUAGAUGCUGCGUCCAAGGAAGCCAAGUCUUUCCUCAAGCAAACUGAGAAGGAAAACCCUCAGGCUGUCGUCACUUCAGCAGUGCCACCACUCCCUGCGGGGUCGGGGAUAAAAAGGUCAAGUGGCAUGAGCAGCCUUUUGGGGAAAAUUGGAGCAAAAAAACAGAAAAUGAGCACCCUUGAGAAGUCUAAACUGGACUGGGAGAGCUUCAAGGAGGAAGAAGGGAUUGGUGAAGAACUGGCUAUCCAUAACCGAGGGAAAGAAGGGUACAUUGAACGGAAAGCUUUUCUGGAUCGAGUGGACCACAGGCAGUUUGAAAUUGAGCGAGAUCUCAGACUGAGCAAAAUGAAACCUUGACAUUCUGGGGAGAAUUAGUAGCAGCUUAAUCCUAUUGACAAUCUCGGAAAACACACUCCGCACUUCUCACUGUGACGUCAGAGUCGAGGGGCAGGACCCACCAGCAAGCCAGGCCGCCUGAACUGGACAUGGCUGUUCUCUGAACAAGUGGCUGUUUCUCAUAGGCAUAAACCAGACAGAGGUGCCAGGAGUCUUCAGCCCUGCUGGCUACGCCCUGUGCCCUGAAUGCAGUGACUGUAGCAUGGAGGCAGGGAACUACACAGGAGGACACACGUGGGACAUGUGAGGCAGGCACGGGCCACCCAGGAGCUUUUCCUCUUGAAAACUGUCAGCAUAUAUUCCUGCUGGAUCUGUUCUGUACUCAGAUUCUGCUGUCUGAGCAUUCCCAUUGUCGGGACAGGGUCCAUGAACACAGCUGUGUGAGGAGAUUUCUGAGACCUUGUGGAAAAACUCCAAGCAAACGAGACAAGAGUCUUGUGAUCUCGGUUCCUCCAUUACAUGGGUUGUUCUUGGAAUGUGCUUCUCUGACCCUCCCAGGUGUGGUGGACAGGAGUGAGUUCACUUCAGAUUAUUAUACUGGCUAUUAUUUGUUCAUAUGCCUCUAUGGAAAAACAUGUUUUUGCCUCAUGCGGCUUGUCUUGUCACUGAGACUCGGGUGACUCUUCUUAACCCUCAGAGUAUAAAUUGUCUGAUGCUCUGAAUAAAGCUGGCUAUUGCAUGA
Peromyscus californicus insignis is the source of this 1743-nucleotide RNA transcript. It is a transcript of the gene named craniofacial development protein 1, with no coding region annotated. NCBI's taxonomy places the organism in Eukaryota, Metazoa, Chordata, Mammalia, Rodentia, Cricetidae. The transcript is spliced from 9 exons. The record is from RefSeq and is a predicted model, not a curated record.